CACGUAGUUAGCCGGGGGCUUUCUCGUGAGGUACCGUCACCGCGCCGCCCUCUUCGAACGGCGCUCCUUCGUCCCUCACAACAGAGCUUUACGGCCCGAAGGCCUUCUUCGCUCACGCGGCGUCGCUCCGUCAGGCUUUCGCCCAUUGCGGAAGAUUCCCUACUGCUGCCUCCCGUAGGAGUCUGGGCCGUGUCUCAGUCCCAGUGUGGCCGGUCACCCUCUCAGGCCGGCUACGCAUCGUCGCCUUGGUGAGCCGUUACCUCACCAACUAGCUAAUGCGCCGCGGGCCCAUCCGCAAGUGACAGCCCAAAGGCCGCCUUUCAACCGAAGACCAUGCGGUCUUCGGUGUUAUCCGGUAUUAGCUCCGGUUUCCCGGAGUUAUCCCGGUCUUGCGGGCAGGUUGCCCACGUGUUACUCACCCGUCCGCCGCUGACCGAAUCAAGGCAAGCCCCAAUCCGGUCCGCUCGACUUGCAUGUAUUAGGCACGCCGCCAGCGUCGUCCUCGCGCGACGAUACAACGUACUCU
Molecule: ribosomal RNA, 526 nt
Filed under: uncultured Geobacillus sp.
Lineage: Bacteria; Bacillati; Bacillota; Bacilli; Caryophanales; Anoxybacillaceae
Description: partial 16S ribosomal RNA
Source: RNAcentral